RNAcentral lists this ribosomal RNA (446 nucleotides) under uncultured Neisseria sp. RNAcentral's name for it is "bacterial SSU rRNA". It matches the Rfam family "Bacterial small subunit ribosomal RNA", at positions 38 to 473 of the family's 1533-position model. The record is from RNAcentral. Lineage: Bacteria; Pseudomonadati; Pseudomonadota; Betaproteobacteria; Neisseriales; Neisseriaceae.
GGCGGCAUGCUUUACACAUGCAAGUCGAACGGCAGCACGAAAGAGCUUGCUCUUUUGGUGGCGAGUGGCGAACGGGUGAGUAAUACAUUGGAACGUACCGAGUAAUGGGGGAUAACUGUCCGAAAGGAUGGCUAAUACCGCAUACGCUCUGAGGAGGAAAGCGGGGGACCUUCGGGCCUCGCGUUAUUCGAGCGGCCAAUGUCUGAUUAGCUAGUUGGUGGGGUAAAGGCCUACCAAGGCGACGAUCAGUAGUGGGUCUGAGAGGAUGAUCCGCCACACUGGGACUGAGACACGGCCCAGACUCCUACGGGAGGCAGCAGUGGGGAAUUUUGGACAAUGGGCGAAAGCCUGAUCCAGCCAUGCCGCGUGUCUGAAGAAGGCCUUCGGGUUGUAAAGGACUUUUGUCAGGGAAGAAAGGGUUUGGGUUAAUACCCUGAGCUUAUGAC